UACAGAGGGUGCAAGCGUUGCUCGGAUUUACUGGGCGUAAAGCGUACGCAGACGGUGAGGUAGGUCGGAUGUGAAAGCCCCGGGCUCAACCCGGGAACUGCAUCCGAAACCACCUCGCUAGAGUAUGGGAGAGGGAAGCGGAAUUCCUGGUGUAGAGGUGAAAUUCGUAGAUAUCAGGAGGAACACCGGUGGCGAAGGCGGCGAUCUGGGUCGAUACUGACGCUGAGGUGCGAAAGCGUGGGGAGCAAACAGG
RNAcentral lists this ribosomal RNA (253 nucleotides) under uncultured bacterium. RNAcentral's name for it is "partial 16S ribosomal RNA". It matches the Rfam family "Bacterial small subunit ribosomal RNA", at positions 524 to 776 of the family's 1533-position model. The record is from RNAcentral.